This 490-nucleotide long non-coding RNA is filed under the name Anas zonorhyncha (Eastern spot-billed duck). RNAcentral's name for it is "lncRNA (ENSAZOG00000002070.1)". Lineage: Eukaryota; Metazoa; Chordata; Aves; Anseriformes; Anatidae. The record is from RNAcentral.
CUUCCUCGUGUCUUGAGAGAAAAGGAUCCUGAAACUGCUGUUUUGUUUCCAUUAACAUGAAUGAUGCACCCUACAUUUUCCCUAACCUCUAACCUGAUGGAAUGACUAAACAAACAGUAGUUUGAAUUCUUCUUUUCUUUAAUAAACUCUCGAAUUUCAGGAGGGCCGGCGUAUUUCUGUGUCAGAAGUGGUGACGGAUCUCAAAUCUCUGUAGGAAUAGUAUUUCAUGUGCCAUGUGGUUUGCAAAACAGCUGCCAAUAAAAAGCCCUAUUGUAUGUAUGUGACCUGCACACGUAACAAGAGACUGUCACAGAAUUUUUACAGCCCAAACAGACAAAGGACGGGAGAAGAAAUAGAGGCACAAACUGUAUUCUGCGAUCAAGAUCUCCCAGAAUCUUUGGAAGAGCCAGGUCAUCUAGGCUCCAUGCUUGCCAGACUCCUAGUCCUUUGGAAAGUUCUUCAAAGUCAAAUAUGUGUUUACAAUGAGUAA